This 30-nucleotide non-coding RNA is filed under the name Rattus norvegicus (Norway rat). The record is from RNAcentral. Lineage: Eukaryota; Metazoa; Chordata; Mammalia; Rodentia; Muridae.
UGGUCUAUGGUUCCUUGUUUGUAGGAUUAU